This is an RNA transcript of Triticum aestivum (bread wheat), 1732 nucleotides long. It is a transcript of the gene named charged multivesicular body protein 1a-like, with no coding region annotated. The transcript is spliced from 3 exons. Lineage: Eukaryota; Viridiplantae; Streptophyta; Magnoliopsida; Poales; Poaceae. The record is from RefSeq and is a predicted model, not a curated record.
CGCGCGGACGAGCUCGCCAUCGCCAGGCGGAGUGCCGGCGAGGGCGUCGACCGCCGCAAGGAGCAGAUGCAGGCGCAGAUCGAGCAGGUGCUGCAACUCUCCAGAGCCCUCGCCGCCGCGCACCCACAAGUGCAGGUACUUGUGUGGUGAGAAGCAACCUCCGGCUGAUCAUCCAGGUCGUGGUGCCCCCUCACCCCGUGCAUUUGGCGAAUGUUUGGGAACUCUUUUGUAAAUUGGUUAAUCAGCAUUGUAUUGUACCACUUCCUGGUUGCCGUAUCAAAUAUUAUACCAUUGCACUAUUUAGUUACUUUUCAAAGUUGUGAUAAAUAUAGUUCUUUUUUACUUUCAAGUCUUCCAUUUUUCUCAUCUACGCUGUGUGUCUAUAUAUAGCAGCACAGUUUUAGUUGCUCCGUAGGUUAUCAGUAGAACUCAACUAGCCAAUUAACAAGUGAACUCUAUGCAUUUGCUGAAUCCAUAUUUAGAAAGUUCACUUACCCUGCUACUAUAACAAACUGCUGGUGGUGGCUCUUUCACAGGCAGUACAUGCAUCAUCAGUCCUAUAUAGCUGCUGCUCAUGUACUCAUUUUGUUCUAGGAAAGUGGGAGGGCAGGGGCCCUUGAUUUUCUUGCAUAAUUUGAGCAAAUUUGAUUUUUAUUCUCUGAAGUUGAUUCUCAUGUGUGGUCAUACCAACAACACAUGCUUAAGACAUCAGUGGCUGGACUGUAGAUGUUUGAACCAGGAAACAAAUUGUGGGGAAAUGGUCCAUUUAUCCUUUAUUGCUUUGUGUUUUAUCUUCUAGAAUUAGUGUACUUUACUUAUAUGUUUAUAUGUUGAAUGACAGAAGCUCAAGGUGAAGAAGGCCAUCGAGAAGGGCAACGCCGACGGCGCCCAGAUCUAUGCGGAGAACACCAUCCGCAAGCGCACCGAGCACAUGAACUACCUCUGCCUCGCCUCCCGCCUCGCCCCAUAUGCCCAUGAGUGAUAUAUACUACUUGCCUACUGCUGUAUCAUAUUGCUUACUUUUUUACAUCAGAUCAACUAUGAAGAGAAUUGGUGGUGGUUAGGGUGUUCUAGUGCUUAUCUAAUCUUCUUUCAAGCCUUUCGAGAUAGAGUUCUUUAGCUGACAAGUUUAGCAAAUGCUGUAGUGCUUAUGUUUUAGUUUUACACCUGCGUAAAAAUGAAUGGCUGCUACUGUUUCUAAUUUUAGGUUGGAAUGAGAUGCAAGUUUGCAUGCUUGUGCUUCUGUCACUACAAUCUAUACUACUGCUAUUGUCAUAUCCUGGUUGUCUUGUUGCUACCAAUAUUUUUCCCAUGUUUUGUUUCCUUGCAUGCUUACUACUACAAUCUAUACUACUACCAUUGUGCAAGAUGUUCACAUGUUAAUUUUGGUUGACUAAAAUCUCUUAUGCCGUUGACUUAGCUUGACCCAGAACAGCAGCAUCCUUGAUGCGUACUAACCUUCACCUCGUUCUUUCUCUCGCAGACUCGAAGGUGGCCUUAUGCAAGGCACCAAGGUACAUGGUGCUCGCAAGCGAUGAAUGGAGGCUGUUUGACAUCGGCUACGCAAACCACCAUUAUGCGGGCCUUCGUUCAUGUUUUGUCGUGAGGUCCAGGAUGAACAAGUUGGGAUAAGCAUUGGAGCUAGUUAUACUGUGAUAGUUGUGUUACCUGAUGUGAACAUUUUUUUUAUUGUAAACUUGAUGUGAACCAUAUUUUUCUGUAAUAAUGUGUU